Molecule: transfer RNA, 90 nt
Filed under: Herpetosiphon sp.
Lineage: Bacteria; Bacillati; Chloroflexota; Chloroflexia; Herpetosiphonales; Herpetosiphonaceae
Also listed under: 4 other names
Description: tRNA-Ser
Rfam family: tRNA
About the family: Transfer RNA (tRNA) molecules are approximately 80 nucleotides in length. Their secondary structure includes four short double-helical elements and three loops (D, anti-codon, and T loops).
Source: RNAcentral
GGGAAGGUGGCUGAGUGGACGAAAGCAACGGUUUGCUAAACCGUCGAGGGGUCACACCCUCCGAGGGUUCGAAUCCCUCCCUUCCCGCCA